Molecule: long non-coding RNA, 2721 nt
Organism: Rhinopithecus roxellana (golden snub-nosed monkey)
Lineage: Eukaryota; Metazoa; Chordata; Mammalia; Primates; Cercopithecidae
Exons: 2
Source: RefSeq, a predicted model, not a curated record
GUGAGCCACGACCGUGCCACUGUACUCCAGCCUGGGCGACAGGACAAAACUCUCAAAAAACCAAACAAAGCAGUUUAUAAUUUGGCUAAAUUAACUUUUGUAUCAUCUAAAGUUUUCUUCUGCUUAGAUAUGGCUGCCUUAAAAGAUGCAGAUACUGUUAUGAUCAGCAUGAAGUUUCCCUGUGGGGCUGUGGUCAGCGUGGACGUCAGCCAGCACCGUACAGACCUGUGACUAGAGAUUGGAGGUGACCCCCUGCCCUUUUCCACCCCUCGCCAGUCCACUGUGAAAAGCUGGGUUCAUUCUCUGGGUUAGAUAGAGGUCGUCAGCCGGGUCGAUUAUGCGGGUUAGAUAGGGGUCGUCACCCGGCCACCCUCAGUUGGGUUGAUUGUGUGGGUUAGAUAGAGGUCGUCACCCAGCCACCCUCAGUUGGGUUGAUUGUGCAGGUUAGAUGGGGUCAUCACCCGGCCACCCUCAGUUGGGUUGAUUGUGCGGGUUAGAUAGGGGUCGUCACCCGGCCACCCUCAGUUGGGUUGAUUGUGUGGGUUAGAUAGAGGUCGUCACCCAGCCACCCUCAGUUGGGUUGAUUGUGCAGGUUAGAUGGGGUCAUCACCCGGCCACCCUCAGUUGGGUUGAUUGUGCGGGUUAGAUAGGGGUCGUCACCUGGCUACCCUCAGCUGGGUUGAUUGUGCGGGUUAGAUAGAGGUUGUCACCCGGCCACCCUCAGCUGGGUUGAUUGUGCGGGUUAGAUAGAGGUCAUCAGCCAGGUUGAUCCUGCUGGUUAAAUAGAGGUCAUCACCUGGCCAUCCCCAGUCAGAGCAUAUGCAGCACACCUUGUGCAUAGUCAGUGCUCAGUAAAUAUUUGUUUUAAUUUUCUGCUGAGAGUCACGUCUUCCAGGUUUUGAAGAGCGUUCGCUCCCUGGCCUCUGGGCCUCAGGAGCUGUUUUGUGACGGUGGCUUUCCUUUACAUUGGCUGUUGCUCUACAGAAGCCUGUGCUUCCUUGGCCGUUACACAGAAAGCCGGUGUUGGUCACAGUGUGCCAUGGGAAGUGAUAAUGAUGGUCCUGGAAGGCCUGCGUCAUGUGUCACCUGCCCGCCCCACCCCCACCAGCAAAAGCCCUGGUGGUGUUCAGUCAUCCCCUUCCCCUCCCCACUUCCCGUGCUCGGCCUGGUUCACUCCUGUCUUGCAAUGGCUCCCAGGUGCGUGGGUCCCAAGGCGCGCUGCAGAUGGAGAAUCAGAAUCCCUUGGGCAUCACCGGGCAGGGCACGUCCCUGUCCCUCGGCUCCCAGACCCAGACUAGCCGCUACCAGGACUUGUAUCGAGAGCUCUUCAGACACUUUGUCAGAACCCUUAAAGGGAAGGAACCUCCUGAAAUCGCCAAAGAGCAGUUCCCCAGGGCCUUCCGGGCGGCCGCGGCGCAGUCGUGGUGGAGCCGGUCAGCUGUGGACCUGCCCUGCGACUCAGCAGAGGCCUCUGUGGUGAAGACAGAAGCUCUGUGAACCAACUCGAAGCUGGAGCCAAGAUCUUGCCCAAUAUCCAGUUGCCUGUUUUUCUUCUCACUGUUACUGAGAGAGGGAGACAGAACCUUCUGGCGAUCUUGUCCUCACUGGAGACUCAGAACGGGAAGCAUUGGGAAACCAUGUAUGUUUCAUUUCUGGUGUGACCAGACUUUUCAGGAUGUGACUUCAGACCAAGGACACAAGUUGGGCUUGCUUAGCUGUUUUGUGUUGCGCGCCGGCCGCAGAGAUGCUCUUCCGGUCAGAGUUCCCUUGGCAGGGCCUCGGAGGCCCCUGGUUGGCUGUCUCGGGAAGAGGGCAGGUCAGGGAUUGGACAGUGUAAAUUGACCCAGAAACCUGCGGUUUCAGCUUUUCUGUGGCAAACAGGGCCGAGGGCUGGCGAAGCUGUUAAGACUAAAUGUCACAUGCAUGAGGCAGACUGCAGGCCUCCUUAGGCCUUUUUUGGGGUAAUUACACCAGUAUUUAAAAACAUUUUUUGUUUGUUUGUUUUGAGACGGAGUCUCGCCCUGUCACCCAGUCUGGAGUGCAGUGGUGCAAUCUCGGCUGACUGCAACCUCCGCCUCCCGGGUUCAAGUGAUUCUUCUGCCUCAGCCUUCUGAGUAGCUGGGAUUACAGGCACGCGCCACCACGCCCGGCUAAUUUUUGUAUUUUUAGCAGAGACGGGGUUUCACCAUGUUGGCCAGGCUGGUCUCGAACUACUGACCUCAUGGUCCACCUGCCACGGCUUCCCAAAGUGCUGGGAUUACGGGCGUGAGCCACCAUGCUCGGUCUAAAAAACAAUUUUCUUGAAGAAUCUGAUUUUGUGCAUAGUAAUGACACAGCACCAUUCCAGAGAAAUAGGAAGUAUAUGUGUGUGGUAUGAGAAAUCCAUAUUCUGUUCUUGUCGCCUGAAUCUAGGCUUCCUCUUCGGAUGUGAGCGCAGGAAUGAACGGCGGCUGUUUUCUGCCCAAAGAGGUGGAGACCUUUUAGAAACAGGCCUUUUCCUUUCCGUUUUGCAGCCAGGUGGUGGAAACCUUCCUUCGAAGGGUAGUGCCUUGGGGAGCAGCAGAGCUGUUCCGAGUCCAGCUUAGCUUUCCAAAAUUCUGUGUGGAACCUACUGGAGAUGUUUUUAUAUAUUUGAAAAUAAUGGCUUGUGUUUCUCAUGCUAUACUUAAAAAAAAUAACCUUUUAAACAAAGAUAUUCAAACUCACCCUUGUGCUAAAAGC